CACGUAGGGUGCGAGCGUUGUCCGGAAUUAUUGGGCGUAAAGAGCUCGUAGGCGGUGUGUCGCGUCGGCCGUGAAAACCUGCAGCUUAACUGUGGGCGUGCGGUCGAUACGGGCAUCACUGGAGUUCGGUAGGGGAGACUGGAAUUCCUGGUGUAGCGGUGAAAUGCGCAGAUAUCAGGAGGAACACCGAUGGCGAAGGCAGGUCUCUGGGCAUUAACUGACGCUGAGGAGCGAAAGCAUGGGGAGCGAACAGG
Molecule: ribosomal RNA, 254 nt
Filed under: uncultured bacterium
Lineage: Bacteria
Description: partial 16S ribosomal RNA
Rfam family: Bacterial small subunit ribosomal RNA
Source: RNAcentral